RNAcentral lists this long non-coding RNA (1110 nucleotides) under Taeniopygia guttata (zebra finch). RNAcentral describes it as "lncRNA (ENSTGUG00000025661.1)". The record is from RNAcentral. Lineage: Eukaryota; Metazoa; Chordata; Aves; Passeriformes; Estrildidae.
AAAAAAUCCCAAAGAAUCCGCCAAAAAAACCCUCAAAAAAUCACAAAGAACCUCAAAAAAACAAAAAAAACCCCCAGAAUCUCAAAAAACAACCCCAACCCAAAAAGCCUAAAGAACCUCAAAAAAACCCCAAAAAAUCACAAAGAUCCUCAAAAAACCCGAGAAAAUUACAAAGAACCCCCCAGAAAUCCAAAAGAGCCUCAAAAAAACCAAAAAAAAGUCACAAAAACCUCGGAAAAUCAAAAAAUAUCCUCAAAAAAUCUAAAAAAAAAACCCCAAAGUACCUCAGUAAACAACAAUAAAAUCCCAAAGAACCCGAGAAAAAACCAAAAAAAUCACAAAGAAUUUCAAAAAACCCAAAAAAAUUCCAAAGAACCCCUAAAAAAACCCAAAAAAAUCACAAAGAACCUCAAAAAACCAAAAAAAACACCCCCAGAAUCUCAAAAAAAAAAACCCCAACCCAAAAAGCCUAAAGAACCUCAAAAAAACCCCCAAAAAUUCCAAAGAACCCCAAAAAAACCCAAAAAAAAUCACAAAGAUCCUCAAAAAACCCCAGAAUAUUACAAAGACCCCCCCAAAAAAAAUCCAAAAGAGCGUCAAAAAACCCCCCAAAAUUACAAAGAACCUCAAAAAAAUCCAAAAGAUCCUCAAAAAACCCAAAAAAAUCACAAAAACCUCGGAAAAUCAAAAAAAUCCCCAAAAAAUCUAAAAAAAAAACCCCAAAGAACCUCAGAAAACAACAAUAAAAUCCCAAAGAACCCCAGAAAAACCCCAAAAAAUCACAAAGAAUUUAAAAAAACCAAAAAAAAUCCCAAUGAACCCGCCAAAAAACCCCCAAAAAUUCACAAAGAACCUCAAAAAAACAAAAAAAAACCCCAGAAUCUCAAAAAAAAAACCCAACCCAAAAAGCCUAAAGAACCUCAAAAAAACCCCAAAAAAUUCCAAAGAACCCCAAAAAAACCCCCAAAAAAUCACAAAGAUCCUCAAAAAACCCAGAAAAUUACAAAGAACCCCCCAAAAUCCAAAAGAGCCUCAAAAAAAACCCCAAAAUUACAAAUAACCUCAAAAAAAUUCAAAAGAUCCUCAAAAACGCCCAAAAAUCACAAAUAA